CCUACGGGAGGCAGCAGUGAGGAAUAUUGGUCAAUGGCCGGAAGGCUGAACCAGCCAAGUCGCGUGAGGGACGACUGCCCUAUGGGUUGUAAACCUCUUUUAUAAGGGAAGAAUAAAUGCUACGUGUAGCAUAAUGCCUGUACCUUAUGAAUAAGCAUCGGCUAACUCCGUGCAAGCAGCCGCGGUAAUACGGAGGAUGCGAGCGUUAGCCGGAUUUAGUGGGUUUAAAGGGUGCGGAGGCGGUUUUUUAAGUUAGUGGUUAAACGUCGGGGCUUCAACUUGAUUUGCCAUUAAUACUGUAAGACUCGAGUUCAGACGAGGUAGGCGGAAUAAGUUAAGUAGCGGUGAAAUGCUUAGAUAUAACUUAGAACUCCGAGAGCGAAGGCAGCUUACCAGACUGCGACUGACGCUGAAGCACGAGAGCGUGGGUAGCGAACAGGAUUAGAUACCCUAGUAGUC
This 459-nucleotide ribosomal RNA is filed under the name uncultured bacterium. Its description in RNAcentral is "partial 16S ribosomal RNA". It matches the Rfam family "Bacterial small subunit ribosomal RNA", at positions 338 to 795 of the family's 1533-position model. The record is from RNAcentral.